AUCUACAAGCUGCACGCAGUCAUCCAGUGAUUGAGAGGAGAGAGAGGAGGCUUUCAACGAACGAUAUAUCAUGAAGAGAUAUGUGAAAAACACCUUGAGGAUUGAUUCUAAACAACGUUUACCAUGUUUCAGUCGAUAUUAUGGAGUUAAUUUGGAAAAAAGUUUGGCGUUUUGAAGACUGAAUUUUCGUUUUUUUUUGGUAGCCAAACGUGACGCACCAAACGGAGCAAUUUCUCCUAAACAAAUAAUCUUUCAGGAAAAACUGAGCAUUUGCUAUCUAACUGAGUCUCCUCAUUGAAAACCAUCUGAAGUUCUUCAAAGGUGUUUAAGUCUAAAUUUCAGAACUGGGAUGAUGUCCUGAAGGUGGACUACACCAGAGCAGCUGAGAGUGUAGAGCAACAGCAAGGAUUACAGGGGAAGGUCAAGAAGGAUGCUGAGAAGAAAGACGAGAUGAAGGCUGACCUCACCGCCCUCUUCCUCCCCAGACAACCCCC
Oncorhynchus tshawytscha (Chinook salmon) is the source of this 494-nucleotide long non-coding RNA. The record is from Ensembl. Lineage: Eukaryota; Metazoa; Chordata; Actinopteri; Salmoniformes; Salmonidae.